AGUGAACGCUGGCGGUAGGCCUAACACAUGCAAGUCGAACGGCAGCACAGGAGAGCUUGCUCUCUGGGUGGCGAGUGGCGGACGGGUGAGGAAUACAUCGGAAUCUACUUUUUCGUGGGGGAUAACGUAGGGAAACUUACGCUAAUACCGCAUACGACCUACGGGUGAAAGCAGGGGAUCUUCGGACCUUGCGCGAUUGAAUGAGCCGAUGUCGGAUUAGCUAGUUGGCGGGGUAAAGGCCCACCAAGGCGACGAUCCGUAGCUGGUCUGAGCGGAUGAUCAGCCACACUGGAACGGAGACACGGUCCAGACUCCUACGGGAGGCAGCAGUGGGGAAUAUUGGACAAUGGGCGCAAGCCUGAUCCAGCCAUACCGCGUGGGUGAAGAAGGCCUUCGGGUUGUAAAGCCCUUUUGUUGGGAAAGAAAUCCAGCUGGCUAAUACCCGGUUGGGAUGACGGUACCGUAAGAAUAAGCACCGGCUAACUACGUGCCAGCCGCCGCCGUAA
This 506-nucleotide ribosomal RNA is filed under the name uncultured bacterium. Its description in RNAcentral is "partial 16S ribosomal RNA". It matches the Rfam family "Bacterial small subunit ribosomal RNA", at positions 29 to 523 of the family's 1533-position model. The record is from RNAcentral.